This 45-nucleotide non-coding RNA is filed under the name Echinostoma caproni. Lineage: Eukaryota; Metazoa; Platyhelminthes; Trematoda; Plagiorchiida; Echinostomatidae. The record is from RNAcentral.
GCACUGCUGGCGAGUUCCAAACAGGACGAAACAGCUGUCGGGUGC